RNAcentral lists this ribosomal RNA (558 nucleotides) under Triticum aestivum (bread wheat). Its description in RNAcentral is "partial small subunit ribosomal RNA". The record is from RNAcentral. Lineage: Eukaryota; Viridiplantae; Streptophyta; Magnoliopsida; Poales; Poaceae.
AUGGCUCCUGGUCGUCAGCAUGAAGACUACGCCAUUGCCAUCGUCGAGCCUGCUCCUCUGCCUGAAGAAGCUCUCAUCUUCAGAAAUAUGAUUGGCUGGGAUGAGUUACCACCACCAGAGCAUAACCAUGCGCCACAACACCAGGAUGCUCCACAUGAUGACCCGCAUGAUGUGCAAGAGGAGCUUGUGGAUGACAAUCAAGUUGUUGUGGAUCAAUCGCAAGAGUCGAUGGUCCUGCAAGUUUCAGAUGAUUCAGUUAAUAAUCAGCCAGUGAAUGAUAUGAUCAUUUUUCAGCAACAUGGGGCUCCCUUGCAGCCUCCUCUGCAUAUUGGACAGGUGCUCACUGUCUUUGGGCCUGUCCUGCCUCCUGACAUGUUGUGGCAACGCUCAUUUGAGAAGAUGAUGCCCUCUCUCUGCUUUGCUGAAAUCCCAAAGCUCACAUUUAAGUCUGGUUUUGGGUUACUCUUGCUUUCUAACAAGUCUUGGGAUGUUUGCUAUAAUGGAUAUGAUCUCAGCAUUGUUCUGCCACCUGCCAGUUGCUCGGGCCCUCUGUUUUGA